GAUGAACGCUGGCGGCGUGCUUAACACAUGCAAGUCGAACGGGGAACAUUUUAUGGAAGCUUCGGUGGAAAUAGCUUGUUCCUAGUGGCGGACGGGUGAGUAACGCGUGGGUAACCUGCCUCACACUGGUGGAUAACAGUCAGAAAUGACUGCUAAUACCGCAUAAGCGCACGGGAUUGCAUGAUCCAGUGUGAAAAACUCCGGUGGUGUGAGAUGGACCCGCGUUGGAUUAGCCAGUUGGCAGGGUAACGGCCUACCAAAGCGACGAUCCAUAGCCGGCCUGAGAGGGUGGACGGCCACAUUGGGACUGAGACACGGCCCAGACUCCUACGGGAGGCAGCAGUGGGGAAUAUUGCACAAUGGGGGAAACCCUGAUGCAGCGACGCCGCGUGAAGGAAGAAGUAUCUCGGUAUGUAAACUUCUAUCAGCAGGGAAGAAAAUGACGGUACCUGACUAAGAAGCCCCGGCUAACUACGUGCCAGCAGCCGCGGUAAUACGUAGGGGGCAAGCGUUAUCCGGAUUUACUGGGUGUAAAGGGAGCGUAGACGGAGCAGCAAGUCUGAUGUGAAAGGCGGGGGCUCAACCCCCGGACCGCAUUGGAAACUGUUGAUCUUGAGUACCGGAGAGGUAAGCGGAAUUCCUAGUGUAGCGGUGAAAUGCGUAGAUAUUAGGAGGAACACCAGUGGCGAAGGCGGCUUACUGGACGGUAACUGACGUUGAGGCUCGAAAGCGUGGGGAGCAAACAAGAUUAGAUACCCUGGUAGUCCACGCCGUAAACGAU
Molecule: ribosomal RNA, 781 nt
Filed under: uncultured bacterium
Lineage: Bacteria
Description: bacterial SSU rRNA
Rfam family: Bacterial small subunit ribosomal RNA
Source: RNAcentral